GCAGGGGCCUCCUUGGCUGUGGUAGGAGCAGGUGCGGCCUCCUUGGCUGUGGUAGGAGCAGGUGCGGCCUCCUUGGCUGUGGCAGGAGCAGGUGCGGCCUCCUUGGCUGUGGUAG
This is a long non-coding RNA of Homarus americanus (American lobster), 115 nucleotides long. RefSeq lists it as uncharacterized. NCBI's taxonomy places the organism in Eukaryota, Metazoa, Arthropoda, Malacostraca, Decapoda, Nephropidae. The record is from RefSeq and is a predicted model, not a curated record. The transcript has 3 exons.